UACGGAAGGGGCGAGCGUUGUUCGGAAUCAUUGGGCGUAAAGGGCGCGUAGGUGGUGCUGUAUGUCUCCCGUGAAAGUCCACGGCUCAACUGUGGGGCGUCGGGAGAAACUGCAGGACUUGAGGCUGGGAGGGGCUGGUGGAAUUCCCUGUGUAGCGGUGAAAUGCGUAGAGAUGGGGGAGAACACUCGUGGCGAAGGCGGCCAGCUAGACCAGUUCUGACACUGAGGCGCGACAGCGUGGGGAGCAAACAGGAUUAGAAACCCCCGUAGUCC
RNAcentral lists this ribosomal RNA (273 nucleotides) under uncultured bacterium. RNAcentral's name for it is "partial 16S ribosomal RNA". It matches the Rfam family "Bacterial small subunit ribosomal RNA", at positions 524 to 796 of the family's 1533-position model. The record is from RNAcentral.